RNAcentral lists this ribosomal RNA (207 nucleotides) under uncultured bacterium. RNAcentral describes it as "partial 16S ribosomal RNA". It matches the Rfam family "Bacterial small subunit ribosomal RNA", at positions 568 to 774 of the family's 1533-position model. The record is from RNAcentral.
CACGUAGGCGGACUGUUAAGUCAGGGGUGAAAUCCCGGGGCUCAACCCCGGAACUGCCUUUGAUACUGGCGGUCUCGAGUCCGGAAGAGGUUAGUGGAAUUCCCAGUGUAGAGGUGAAAUUCGUAGAUAUUGGGAAGAACACCAGUGGCGAAGGCGGCUAACUGGUCCGGUACUGACGCUGAGGUGCGAAAGCGUGGGGAGCAAACA